UACAGAGGGGGCAAGCGUUGUUCGGAAUUACUGGGCGUAAAGGGCGCGUAGGCGGCCUGCUAAGUCGAACGUGAAAUCCCUGGGCUCAACCCAGGAACUGCGUCCGAUACUGGUUGGCUUGAAUCCGGGAGAGGGAUGUGGAAUUCCAGGUGUAGCGGUGAAAUGCGUAGAUAUCUGGAGGAACACCGGUGGCGAAGGCGACAUCCUGGACCGGUAUUGACGCUGAGACGCGAAAGCGUGGGGAGCGAACAGG
Molecule: ribosomal RNA, 253 nt
Filed under: uncultured bacterium
Lineage: Bacteria
Description: partial 16S ribosomal RNA
Rfam family: Bacterial small subunit ribosomal RNA
Source: RNAcentral